GAUGAACGCUGGCGGCGUGCCUAAUACAUGCAAGUCGAGCGAACAGACGAGGAGCUUGCUCCUCUGACGUUAGCGGCGGACGGGUGAGUAACACGUGGAUCACCUACCUAUAAGACUGGGAUAACUUCGGGAAACCGGAGCUAAUACCGGAUAAUAUAUUGAACCGCAUGGUUCAAUAGUGAAAGACGGUUUUGCUGUCACUUAUAGAUGGAUCCGCGCCGCAUUAGCUAGUUGGUAAGGUAACGGCUUACCAAGGCGACGAUGCGUAGCCGACCUGAGAGGGUGAUCGGCCACACUGGAACUGAGACACGGUCCAGACUCCUACGGGAGGCAGCAGUAGGGAAUCUUCCGCAAUGGGCGAAAGCCUGACGGAGCAACGCCGCGUGAGUGAUGAAGGUCUUCGGAUCGUAAAACUCUGUUAUUAGGGAAGAACAAAUGUGUAAGUAACUAUGCACGUCUUGACGGUACCUAAUCAGAAAGCAACGGCUAACUACGUG
This 497-nucleotide ribosomal RNA is filed under the name uncultured bacterium. RNAcentral's name for it is "partial 16S ribosomal RNA". It matches the Rfam family "Bacterial small subunit ribosomal RNA", at positions 28 to 507 of the family's 1533-position model. The record is from RNAcentral.